Centrocercus urophasianus (Greater sage-grouse) is the source of this 1326-nucleotide long non-coding RNA. RefSeq lists it as uncharacterized. The record is from RefSeq and is a predicted model, not a curated record. The transcript is spliced from 2 exons. Lineage: Eukaryota; Metazoa; Chordata; Aves; Galliformes; Phasianidae.
UCCAGGCAGGUCUUGAACGUCUCCAGAGAAGGAGACUCCACCACCUCCCUGGGCAGCCUGUUCCAGUGCUCCGUUACCUCACUGCAAAGAAGUUCUUACACACACUUGUUUGAAACUUCCUAUGCUGCAGCUUAUGUCCGUUUCCCCUUGUCCUGUCUCCACAUACCACUGAAAAGAGACUGGCCUAACCGCAAUGGCCCCCACACUUCAGAUAUUUAUAAACCUGGAUCAGGUCCCCUGAUAAGGCCCUGGUUCCAUCUCAACAUUGUUCUGCUGCUUACUCAAGAGGUUUGCUAAAAUCACCACCCUCUGGAGGCCCCACAGAGACACGUAACACCUGUUACAUAAAGGGACACCGUGGCUGCCUCUUCCGAAGAGCCCACUCACCAUGCGCCCAUACAUUUUGAUGGGCAACCCACACUUAUCGCAGAAAUGGACGGGCGUAUCAUCCUUCUCCCCCAGCAAGUUUAUCUAGAAGAACAGAGAAAGGGGUGGGAAAAAGAGAAACAUCACUAAAGCUUCUCACUGCAGUCAUCACCAACCCACUCUUCCUGAAUUAUCAGACUGAAGCAAGACCACCACAAACAUGAAAAUGUAUUUUUGGUACACCAAAAAGUAAUGCAAGCGAUUUCAUCCUAGUGGAUACUUCUUAAAAUAACCUUCAGUUUGGUACGAUUCACAAAGUUCCACCAUUUCCCGUCCUUGAUUUUACCUUAUAGUCCCAAAAUAUGGGUCCGGGGAAUCUCCUUUGAUUUCCAAACAUUUCACCUCCUUUGCAUUCGUAUCGCUCCUCUUCAUUGAAAUCAAAUUCUUCUGUGGGAAGAGGAAAGAGAAGACAGAUACAAGGCAAUGCUGCUUCCCUAACUGACGCCGGCUGCUAUUAAGUGCGUGCACUGGUGAACAUCGAAAUCACCAGGGCAGGCUGCAACACUCCCAGUCUGCUGGGCCAUUCUGCAGAAAGGUACAACCAAAAUAGUGUGAAUUUGCUUGGGGAACUGGCAUCUUUUACUCCUCAUAGAGCAGCAGAACCGGGAAAACUGAAACAGGCUGUGCAGCUGUAAAGAAUCCUGGAUUCCAACACUGACCAAAGCCUUCAACAGUGCUGCAGAAUAUGCUGCCUCACUGCAGGGGCUCUUUUGUCCAGGUUUAAGUCUGGCACCAAAAGAAGCAAGGACAUGCCUAACACAGGCACUGAGAGACAACCUAGAAGGAAAAGUGCUGCCAAGGAUUGAUGCACACCCCGAUUUCCCCAGCUUUCAGCAAGUCAGCCUCAACCUACCACAGUAUCUCAUUUAUAGAAAAAUAAAAUCACAUCCUUCAAAACCA